GACGAACGCUGGCGGCGUGCCUAAUACAUGCCAGUUGAGCGCUGAAGGUUGGUACUUGUACCAACUGGAUGAGCAGCGAACGGGUGAGUAACGCGUGGGGAAUCUGCCUUUGAGCGGGGGACAACAUUUGGAAACGAAUGCUAAUACCGCAUAAAAACUUUAAACACAAGUUUUAAGUUUGAAAGAUGCAAUUGCAUCACUCAAAGAUGAUCCCGCGUUGUAUUAGCUAGUUGGUGAGGUAAAGGCUCACCAAGGCGAUGAUACAUAGCCGACCUGAGAGGGUGAUCGGCCACAUUGGGACUGAGACACGGCCCAAACUCCUACGAGAGGCAGCAGUAGGGAAUCUUCGGCAAUGGACGAAAGUCUGACCGAGCAACGCCGCGUGAGUGAAGAAGGUUUUCGGAUCGUAAAACUCUGUUGGUAGAGAAGAACGUUGGUGAGAGUGGAAAGCUCAUCAAGUGACGGUAACUACCCAGAAAGGGACGGCUAACUACGUG
Molecule: ribosomal RNA, 497 nt
Filed under: uncultured bacterium
Lineage: Bacteria
Description: partial 16S ribosomal RNA
Rfam family: Bacterial small subunit ribosomal RNA
Source: RNAcentral